CGUACGAUCACCGAAUUUAAGCAACGUCGAGCCUGGGUAGUACUUAGAUGGGUGACAAUUUGGGAAUACUAGGUGAUGUAA
Molecule: non-coding RNA, 81 nt
Organism: Acanthosepion pharaonis
Lineage: Eukaryota; Metazoa; Mollusca; Cephalopoda; Sepiida; Sepiidae
Source: the annotation of a GenBank genome assembly